Molecule: transfer RNA, 74 nt
Filed under: Burkholderia vietnamiensis
Lineage: Bacteria; Pseudomonadati; Pseudomonadota; Betaproteobacteria; Burkholderiales; Burkholderiaceae
Also listed under: 3 other names
Description: tRNA-Lys
Rfam family: tRNA
About the family: Transfer RNA (tRNA) molecules are approximately 80 nucleotides in length. Their secondary structure includes four short double-helical elements and three loops (D, anti-codon, and T loops).
Source: RNAcentral
GAGGGUGUAGCUCACGGGCAGAGCAUCCGGCUUUUACCCGGACGGCGAGAGUUCGAGCCUCUCCGCCCUCACCA